Molecule: long non-coding RNA, 588 nt
Filed under: Homo sapiens (human)
Lineage: Eukaryota; Metazoa; Chordata; Mammalia; Primates; Hominidae
Description: HSALNT0234452
Source: RNAcentral
AGAGCUACAAGGCCGCAUAUAGGUAAGGAGAGCUGCAAGGCCGCAUGUGGGUAAGGAGAGCUGCAAGGCCCACAUGUGGGUAAGGAGAGCUGCAAGGCCGCAUGUGGGUAAGGAGAGCUGCAAGGCCGCAUGUGGGUAAGGAGAGCUGCAAGGCCCGCAUGUGGGUAAGGAGAGCUGCAAGGCCGCAUGUGGGUAAGGAGAGCUGCAAGGCCCGCAUGUGGGUAAGGAGAGCGGCAAGGCCCGCAUGUGGGUAAGGAGAGCUACAAGGCCCGCAUGUGCGUAAGGAGAGCUGCAAGGCCGCAUGUGGGUAAGGAGAGCUGCAAGGCCGCAUGUGGGUAAGGAGAGCUGCAAGGCCCGCAUGUGGGUAAGGAGAGCUGCAAGGCCGCAUGUGAGUAAGGAGAGCUGCAAGGCCGCAUGUGGGUAAGGAGAGCUGCAAGGCCCACAUGUGGGUAAGGAGAGUGGCAAGGCCCGCAUGUGGGUAAGGAGAGCUACAAGGCCCGCAUGUGCGUAAGGAGAGCUGCAAGGCCGCAUGUGGGUAAGGAGAGCUGCAAGGCCCCAUGUGGGUAAGGAGAGCUGCAAGGCCGUAUG